This 253-nucleotide ribosomal RNA is filed under the name uncultured bacterium. Its description in RNAcentral is "partial 16S ribosomal RNA". It matches the Rfam family "Bacterial small subunit ribosomal RNA", at positions 524 to 776 of the family's 1533-position model. The record is from RNAcentral.
UACGUAGGGGGCAAGCGUUGUCCGGAUUUAUUGGGCGUAAAGAGCGUGUAGGCGGCUUUACAGGUCCGUUGUGAAAACUCGAGGCUCAACCUCGAGACGCCGGUGGAAACCGUAAAGCUAGAGCCCGGAAGAGGAGAGUGGAAUUCCUGGUGUAGCGGUGAAAUGCGCAGAUAUCAGGAAGAACACCCGUGGCGAAGGCGGCUCUCUGGGACGGUACUGACGCUGAGACGCGAAAGCGUGGGGAGCGAACAGG